GUAGGCAUAGUUUAACCAAAACAUUAGAUUGUGAUUCUAAAAACAGGGGUGAUAAACCCCCUUGCCCACC
Molecule: transfer RNA, 70 nt
Filed under: Bertella idiomorpha
Lineage: Eukaryota; Metazoa; Chordata; Actinopteri; Lophiiformes; Oneirodidae
Description: tRNA-His
Rfam family: tRNA
About the family: Transfer RNA (tRNA) molecules are approximately 80 nucleotides in length. Their secondary structure includes four short double-helical elements and three loops (D, anti-codon, and T loops). Further hydrogen bonds mediate the characteristic L-shaped molecular structure. tRNAs have two regions of fundamental functional importance: the anti-codon, which is responsible for specific mRNA codon recognition, and the 3' end, to which the tRNAs corresponding amino acid is attached (by aminoacyl-tRNA synthetases). tRNAs cope with the degeneracy of the genetic code in two manners: having more than one tRNA (with a specific anti-codon) for a particular amino acid; and 'wobble' base-pairing, i.e. permitting non-standard base-pairing at the 3rd anti-codon position.
Source: RNAcentral